RNAcentral lists this ribosomal RNA (305 nucleotides) under uncultured bacterium. RNAcentral describes it as "bacterial SSU rRNA". It matches the Rfam family "Bacterial small subunit ribosomal RNA", at positions 337 to 656 of the family's 1533-position model. The record is from RNAcentral.
GCCUACGGGACGCAGCAGUGGGGAAUAUUGCACAAUGGGCGAAAGCCUGAUGCAGCAACGCCGCGUGAAGGAAGAAGGGUUUCGGCUCGUAAACUUCUAUCAACAGGGACGAAAGAAAUGACGGUACCUGAAUAAGAAGCCCCGGCUAACUACGUGCCAGCAGCCGCGGUAAUACGUAGGGGGCAAGCGUUAUCCGGAAUUACUGGGUGUAAAGGGUGCGUAGACGGGCUAACAAGUUAGUUGUGAAAUCCCUCGGCUCAACUGAGGAACUGCAACUAAAACUAUUAGUCUUGAGUGCGGGAGAG